RNAcentral lists this ribosomal RNA (1239 nucleotides) under Bacillus pumilus. Its description in RNAcentral is "bacterial SSU rRNA". It matches the Rfam family "Bacterial small subunit ribosomal RNA", at positions 1 to 974 of the family's 1533-position model. The record is from RNAcentral. Lineage: Bacteria; Bacillati; Bacillota; Bacilli; Caryophanales; Bacillaceae.
AGGCGGCGCCAAUACUGCAAGUCGAGCGGACAGAUGGGAGCUUGCUCCCUGAUGUUAGCGUCCCAUUGGCGGGGUUCCCUAAAAAUGCAAGUCGAGCGGACAGAAGGGAGCUUGCUCCCGGAUGUUAGCGAAAUUGCGGACGGGUGAGUAACACGUGGGUAACCUGCCUGUAAGACUGGGAUAACUCCGGGAAACCGGAGCUAAUACCGGAUAGUUCCUUGAACCGCAUGGUUCAAGGAUGAAAGACGGUUUCGGCUGUCACUUACAGAUGGACCCGCGGCGCAUUAGCUAGUUGGUGAGGUAACGGCUCACCAAGGCGACGAUGCGUAGCCGACCUGAGAGGGUGAUCGGCCACACUGGGACUGAGACACGGCCCAGACUCCUACGGGAGGCAGCAGUAGGGAAUCUUCCGCAAUGGACGAAAGUCUGACGGAGCAACGCCGCGUGAGUGAUGAAGGUUUUCGGAUCGUAAAGCUCUGUUGUUAGGGAAGAACAAGUGCAAGAGUAACUGCUUGCACCUUGACGGUACCUAACCAGAAAGCCACGGCUAACUACGUGCCAGCAGCCGCGGUAAUACGUAGGUGGCAAGCGUUGUCCGGAAUUAUUGGGCGUAAAGGGCUCGCAGGCGGUUUCUUAAGUCUGAUGUGAAAGCCCCCGGCUCAACCGGGGAGGGUCAUUGGAAACUGGGAAACUUGAGUGCAGAAGAGGAGAGUGGAAUUCCACGUGUAAAAAUUUAGUUGGUGAGGUAACGGCUCACCAAGGCGACGAUGCGUAGCCGACCUGAGAGGGUGAUCGGCCACACUGGGACUGAGACACGGCCCAGACUCCUACGGGAGGCUGGUGUGUGUGUAGCGGUGAAAUGCGUAGAGAUGUGGAGGAACACCAGUGAAAAAAUUUAUAUAUAUGCGUGUGUGCGUAUAGUAGUAUUUUUAGGUAGUGCGAAGGCGACUCUCUGGUCUGUAACUGACGCAAUUAUGUGUCGUGCGUGCGUGCGUGCACGUGCGUACGUCGGUGAGGAGCGAAAGCGUGGGGAGCGAACAGGAUUAGAUACCCUGGUAGUCCACGCCGUAAACGAUGAGUGCUAAGUGUUAGGGGGUUUCCGCCCCUUAGUGCUGCAGCUAACGCAUUAAGCACUCCGCCUGGGGAGUACGGUCGCAAGACUGAACUCAAAGGAUUGACGGGGGCCCGCACAAGCGGUGGGGACAGAUGAUUGGGGGAAGUCGUAACAAAGAAGCCAAA